AGAAGGAACUUUGUGCUGACGGCAAACUCAACCAUAUGCGACCAGCAUUUCGUAUUGGGAUUUUCACACAUAUAACAUUUUUUAUCAGCUCGAUCCCAAGACAGGCCACAGGGACACAAUUCUCUUGUGUCAAAGGGGAUGGAUUUUUAGUCGCCGUCUAGUAAGACAAUCUGCUGGGAGACGAGUGUAGAGAAGACAGGCCACACAGACUGAGGACACUGCGGUGAGCAGUCGCUAAGUGAGAGCCAUUCACAGCCAACAGUGAGUGGCUGUAGUUUCUACUCAGGAAACGGAAGUUCCGGGUGUAUCCGAGUGUCAUCAUCUGUUUCCACUCCACAGCACGAUCCUCACAGAGAAAGGAUUCAGCAAACAUUGGCUUCUUCUUGUAGUGGACAUGGGCAACUCGUGUAUAACCACAGGAGGCAGAGUGGGCAGAAAAGGGCGAAAGUGGAAACAGGUCCGACACAUCCUAAAACAGAGGUCAAGGAUCCCGUUCGUCGAGCGCCAGAGAGCAGUGAUCAAGGCAAAAAAUGCUAUGUUCCACUUUAUCCAAUUGAAGAGCUUCAGGCGUUAGGAGGACCUCCUUCACGAAAGACUAAAGCGAAAGAAGACGACAUCCAGGGAGUUGCAGGAGCCGUAGGACCGUCUGUUGGUGCUCCGCGGCCACCUCCACCGCCUCAACCAGGUGUGGCUUGAAUUGUAUUUGGGAGUGUUCUGACAACUUGGCUGUUUGUUUUCCUGUCAAUUUAAUAUGAUAGUCAUGCUACUUUCAAAAACUCAGUCUAUUUAAGAAUGUUAACAUAAUAUGUCAUCAAACAAUACCUGUGUAACUUACCGUAUAUUUAAAAGAGAUUUAGGAAUUGAGAACUACUCAAUAAAUGUAUCCCCUGCUCUUAGAGGUCUCUUAAUUAAAUUUAGGUUAAGCUGCAUUAAAACUAUUUAGGUUAAGGUUAGAUACGAAGAGAUAUCAAGAGAUACGAGAACAUGUCCAUUGUGUAGUCUAAAUGAGGCAGAUGAUGUAUUUUAUUGUAUUCGUAUGUUUUCUCACCCUUUGUUAACUGUCUCAUGUACAGAGCUGCUUCCCUUGCAUUUUUUCGCCACCAGAAUGUGUACAAUUGUGUUAGCUAAUAAAUAAUAAAUCUUACACCAGACUUAAUUUACGAAAAUUUAUUACAUUCUUCAUUCUUUCAGUAACUUUAAACUUCUUUGUGUUUUAGUAUAAUGUGAAGGUCGUGUGACAAGAAUGUGGUGUUCAAUUAAUCUAUUGUAAUUGUUGCAGUUU
Long non-coding RNA from Pomacea canaliculata, 1282 nucleotides. RefSeq lists it as uncharacterized. The record is from RefSeq and is a predicted model, not a curated record. The transcript is spliced from 10 exons. Lineage: Eukaryota; Metazoa; Mollusca; Gastropoda; Architaenioglossa; Ampullariidae.